AUGAACGCUGGCGGCGUGCCUAAUACAUGCCAGUCGAGCGAACAGACGAGGAGCUUGCUCCUCUGACGUUAGCGGCGGACGGGUGAGUAACACGUGGAUAACCUACCUAUAAGACUGGGAUAACUUCGGGAAACCGGAGCUAAUACCGGAUAAUAUAAUGAACCGCAUGGUUCAAUAGUGAAAGACGGUUUUGCUGUCACUUAUAGAUGGAUCCGCGCCGCAUUAGCUAGUUGGUAAGGUAACGGCUUACCAAGGCAACGAUGCGUAGCCGACCUGAGAGGGUGAUCGGCCACACUGGAACUGAGACACGGUCCAGACUCCUACGGGAGGCAGCAGUAGGGAAUCUUCCGCAAUGGGCGAAAGCCUGACGGAGCAACGCCGCGUGAGUGAUGAAGGUCUUCGGAUCGUAAAACUCUGUUAUUAGGGAAGAACAAAUGUGUAAGUAACUAUGCACGUCUUGACGGUACCUAAUCAGAAAGCCACGGCUAACUACGUG
This 496-nucleotide ribosomal RNA is filed under the name uncultured bacterium. Its description in RNAcentral is "partial 16S ribosomal RNA". It matches the Rfam family "Bacterial small subunit ribosomal RNA", at positions 29 to 507 of the family's 1533-position model. The record is from RNAcentral.